Molecule: small nuclear RNA, 104 nt
Filed under: Jaculus jaculus (lesser Egyptian jerboa)
Lineage: Eukaryota; Metazoa; Chordata; Mammalia; Rodentia; Dipodidae
Source: RNAcentral
GAGCUCGCUUUGGCAGCAUAUACGCCAGCAUUGGAAUGAUACAGAGAUUAACAUGGCCCCCGCACAGGGGUGACAUACAAGCUUAUGAAGUAUUCCAUGUCUAA